GAUGAACGCUAGCGACAGGCCUAACACAUGCAAGUCGAGGGGCAGCGUGCCGUAGCAAUACGGUGACGGCGACCGGCGCACGGGUGAGUAACGCGUAUGCAACCUGCCCGCGGACGCGGGAUAGCCUCCCGAAAGGGAGAUUAAACCCGCAUGGCGAGGACUGGCCGCAUGGCCUAUCCUCCAAACACCAGGGUCCGCGGAUGGGCAUGCGUUCCAUUAGGUAGUAGGCGGGGCAACGGCCCACCUAGCCUGCGAUGGAUAGGGGUCCUGAGAGGGAAGUCCCCCACACUGGUACUGAGACACGGACCAGACUCCUACGGGAGGCAGCAGUGAGGAAUAUUGGUCAAUGGGCGAGAGCCUGAACCAGCCAUGUCGCGUGCAGGACUACGGCCCUACGGGUCUUAAACUGCUUUUGCCGGGGAUAAAGGUCGGGGUUCGCCCCCGUUCGCAGGUACCCGGCGAAUAAGGAUCGGCUAACUCCGUGCCAGCAGCCGCGGUAAUCUGUAGUCGUC
RNAcentral lists this ribosomal RNA (512 nucleotides) under uncultured bacterium. Its description in RNAcentral is "bacterial SSU rRNA". It matches the Rfam family "Bacterial small subunit ribosomal RNA", at positions 28 to 535 of the family's 1533-position model. The record is from RNAcentral.